Molecule: ribosomal RNA, 208 nt
Filed under: uncultured bacterium
Lineage: Bacteria
Description: partial 16S ribosomal RNA
Rfam family: Bacterial small subunit ribosomal RNA
Source: RNAcentral
CGGAUUGUAGUCUGCAACUCGACUACAUGAAGCCGGAAUCGCUAGUAAUCGCGGAUCAGAAUGCCGCGGUGAAUACGUUCCCGGGUCUUGUACACACCGCCCGUCACACCAUGGGAGCCGGAAAUGCCCGAAGUCAGUGACCCAACCAAUAAGGAGGGAGCUGCCGAAGGCAGGUCUGGUGACUGGGGUGAAGUCGUAACAAGGUAGC